GGGAGUGCAUCAGUGCUGGUGUGCUGCCUGGUCUUCAAAACCUGUGGGGUCCCACCUCGAGUGGGUCCCGGUGGGUUCGAUUCCCAUGCACUCCCGCCA
RNAcentral lists this transfer RNA (99 nucleotides) under Planctomycetota bacterium. RNAcentral describes it as "Planctomycetes bacterium (wastewater metagenome) tRNA-Sec". It matches the Rfam family "Selenocysteine transfer RNA". Lineage: Bacteria; Pseudomonadati; Planctomycetota. The record is from RNAcentral.